This 271-nucleotide long non-coding RNA is filed under the name Gallus gallus (chicken). Lineage: Eukaryota; Metazoa; Chordata; Aves; Galliformes; Phasianidae. The record is from RNAcentral.
GGACACCAUUGGGAUGGAUGGACGUCAUUGGGAUGGACGGACAGACGGACAGCAUUGGGAUGGAUGGACGGACAGCACUGCAAUGGAUGGACGGACAGACGGACAGCAUUGGGAUGGACAGACAGCACUGUGAUGGACGGACAGACGGACACCAUUGGGAUGGAUGGACAGACGGACACCGUUGGGAUGGAUGGACGUCAUUGGGGUGGACAGACAGACGGACAUCAUUGGGAUGGAUGGACAGAUGGACAGCACUGCAAUGGACGGACAG